This 253-nucleotide ribosomal RNA is filed under the name uncultured bacterium. RNAcentral describes it as "partial 16S ribosomal RNA". It matches the Rfam family "Bacterial small subunit ribosomal RNA", at positions 524 to 776 of the family's 1533-position model. The record is from RNAcentral.
UACAGAGGGUGCGAGCGUUGUCCGGAAUCACUGGGCGUAAAGGGCGCGUAGGUGGCUUGUUAAGCGUGUGGUGAAAGCCUGGGGCUCAACCCCAGGUCUGCCGUGCGAACUGGCAAGCUUGAGCGUAGUAGAGGCAGGUGGAAUUUCGGGUGUAGCGGUGGAAUGCGUAGAUAUCCGAAAGAACACCGGUGGCGAAGGCGGCCUGCUGGGCUACUGCUGACGCUGAGGCGCGACAGCGUGGGGAGCAAACAGG